Molecule: ribosomal RNA, 444 nt
Filed under: uncultured Rhizobiaceae bacterium
Lineage: Bacteria; Pseudomonadati; Pseudomonadota; Alphaproteobacteria; Hyphomicrobiales; Rhizobiaceae
Description: bacterial SSU rRNA
Rfam family: Bacterial small subunit ribosomal RNA
Source: RNAcentral
UCUCCUACGGGGGGCUGCAGUGGGGAAUAUUGGACAAUGGGCGCAAGCCUGAUCCAGCCAUGCCGCGUGAGUGAUGAAGGUCUUAGGAUUGUAAAGCUCUUUCACCGAUGAAGAUAAUGACGGUAGUCGGAGAAGAAGCCCCGGCUAACUUCGUGCCAGCAGCCGCGGUAAUACGAAGGGGGCUAGCGUUGUUCGGAAUUACUGGGCGUAAAGCGCACGUAGGCGGAUAUUUACGGCAGGGUUGAAAUCCCGCAGCUCAACUGCGGAACUGCCUUUGAUACUGGGUAUCUCGAGUAUGGAAGAGGUGAGUGGAAUUCCGAGUGUAGAGGUGAAAUUCGUAGAUAUUCGGAGGAACACCAGUGGCGAAGGCGGCUCACUGGUCCAUUACUGCCGCUGAGGUGCGAAAGCGUGGGGAGCAAACAGGAUUAGAUACCCUUGUAGUCA